This 253-nucleotide ribosomal RNA is filed under the name uncultured bacterium. RNAcentral describes it as "partial 16S ribosomal RNA". It matches the Rfam family "Bacterial small subunit ribosomal RNA", at positions 524 to 776 of the family's 1533-position model. The record is from RNAcentral.
UACGUAGGGUGCAAGCGUUAAUCGGAAUUACUGGGCGUAAAGCGUGCGCAGGCGGUUUUGUAAGUCUGUCGUGAAAUCCCCGGGCUCAACCUGGGAAUUGCGAUGGAGACUGCAAGGCUGGAGUCUGGCAGAGGGGGGUAGAAUUCCACGUGUAGCAGUGAAAUGCGUAGAGAUGUGGAGGAAUACCAAUGGCGAAGGCAGCCCCCUGGGUUAACACUGACGCUCAGGCACGAAAGCGUGGGGAGCAAACAGG